This 698-nucleotide ribosomal RNA is filed under the name Tranzscheliella hypodytes. RNAcentral describes it as "eukaryotic LSU rRNA". The stretch from base 267 to 421 matches the Rfam family "5.8S ribosomal RNA". The record is from RNAcentral. Lineage: Eukaryota; Fungi; Basidiomycota; Ustilaginomycetes; Ustilaginales; Ustilaginaceae.
ACCUGCAGAUGGAUCAUUUGAAAAAGAAAAUAAUUUGGCUUUCUUUGGCUUUGAGGUGUGGCUUCGCACCUGACUAACUAAAAUUGAGCUACCCAUUUUUACACGGUUGCAUUGGUCAGGCUGUCAAACAGCGCCGCGGUCAAACGCGGUUAGCUGGGUGAACGCCUGUCAAACCAAUUUUGAAUUCACACUUUGGAAUGAUAGGAUUUUGGCAUGUCAUUUGGGAUGAAAGCGACUGGUAAUGCGGUCGUUGAAAUUGAAAAAACAACUUUUGGCAACGGAUCUCUUGGUUCUCCCAUCGAUGAAGAACGCAGCGAAUUGCGAUAAGUAAUGUGAAUUGCAGAAGUGAAUCAUCGAAUCUUUGAACGCAUCUUGCGCUCCCGGCAGAUCUAAUCUGGGGAGCAUGCCCGUCUGAGGGCCGCGAAUUGUUUCGAACGUUGGCUUUUUUCGUAAGAGAAUAGCUGACGGAUCGGUAUUGAGGGUUUUGCCAUUUACAGUGGCUCUCUCGAAAUACAUUAGCAUGACAUUGAUAAUUUAUUAUAAUUUCGAGUUGGUGAUUGGCCAGCCGGGUUUUGAUAACAUCAAGGCUUCGGUGGCAAGACAUCACUUGAAAAAAAGUUCAUCGCUUCUAAACGCGCCCUUACUUGCCAUUAGGAAGUAAUGGGAUCAUUUUUAAUUCAUCGGCCUCAGAUCGGUAG